This 265-nucleotide ribosomal RNA is filed under the name uncultured archaeon. RNAcentral describes it as "partial 16S ribosomal RNA". It matches the Rfam family "Archaeal small subunit ribosomal RNA", at positions 718 to 982 of the family's 1478-position model. The record is from RNAcentral.
AGUCACUGACAUUAGAUACCCCUGUAGUCCCAGCCGUAAACUAUGCGCGUUAGGUGUAUCGGUGACCACGAGUUACCGAGGUGCCGAAGGGAAACCGUGAAACGUGCCGCCUGGGAAGUACGGUCGCAAGGCUGAAACUUAAAGGAAUUGGCGGGGGAGUACCGCAACGGGAGGAGCGUGCGGUUUAAUUGGAUUCAACACCGUAAAACUCACCAGGGAAGACUGUUACAUGAAGGCCGAGAUGAAGACUCUGCUAGAUUUUCAG